AGCUGGUCUCCUCGCAAUGUAAUGUCACGAACCCCGCCAGGCCCGGAAGGGAGCAACGGUAGUAACAGAUCAUGUGCCGAGGCCAGAUGGGCUUGG
This 96-nucleotide signal recognition particle RNA is filed under the name Gammaproteobacteria bacterium. RNAcentral describes it as "signal recognition particle sRNA small type". It matches the Rfam family "Bacterial small signal recognition particle RNA". Rfam says of the family: The signal recognition particle (SRP) is a universally conserved ribonucleoprotein involved in the co-translational targeting of proteins to membranes. The record is from RNAcentral. Lineage: Bacteria; Pseudomonadati; Pseudomonadota; Gammaproteobacteria.